GUCUCCGUAGCUCAGCCGGACAGAGCACAGGUUUCCUAAACCUGGGGUCGGAGGUUCGAUUCCUCCCGGGGACGCCA
RNAcentral lists this transfer RNA (77 nucleotides) under Methylorubrum rhodinum. Its description in RNAcentral is "tRNA-Arg". It matches the Rfam family "tRNA". From Rfam's summary of the family: Transfer RNA (tRNA) molecules are approximately 80 nucleotides in length. The record is from RNAcentral. Lineage: Bacteria; Pseudomonadati; Pseudomonadota; Alphaproteobacteria; Hyphomicrobiales; Methylobacteriaceae. RNAcentral also lists the same sequence under 4 other names.